Molecule: transfer RNA, 72 nt
Filed under: Hafniomonas laevis
Lineage: Eukaryota; Viridiplantae; Chlorophyta; Chlorophyceae; Chlamydomonadales; Dunaliellaceae
Description: tRNA-Cys
Rfam family: tRNA
About the family: Transfer RNA (tRNA) molecules are approximately 80 nucleotides in length. Their secondary structure includes four short double-helical elements and three loops (D, anti-codon, and T loops).
Source: RNAcentral
GGCGACAUAGCCAAGUGGUAAGGCAGAUGAUUGCAAAUCAUUUACUCCUCAGUUCGAUUCUGAGUGUCGCCU